This 475-nucleotide ribosomal RNA is filed under the name Scheffersomyces stipitis. RNAcentral's name for it is "eukaryotic LSU rRNA". It matches the Rfam family "Eukaryotic large subunit ribosomal RNA", at positions 69 to 551 of the family's 3401-position model. The record is from RNAcentral. Lineage: Eukaryota; Fungi; Ascomycota; Pichiomycetes; Serinales; Debaryomycetaceae.
CAGGGAUUGCCUUAGUAACGGCGAGUGAAGCGGCAAAAGCUCAAAUUUGAAAUCUGGCACCUUCGGUGUCCGAGUUGUAAUUUGAAGAAGGUAACUUUGGAGUCAGCUCUUGUCUAUGUUCCUUGGAACAGGACGUCACAGAGGGUGAGAAUCCCGUGCGAUGAGAUGUCUGAUUCUAUGUAAAGUGCUUUCGAAGAGUCGAGUUGUUUGGGAAUGCAGCUCUAAGUGGGUGGUAAAUUCCAUCUAAAGCUAAAUAUUGGCGAGAGACCGAUAGCGAACAAGUACAGUGAUGGAAAGAUGAAAAGAACUUUGAAAAGAGAGUGAAAAAGUACGUGAAAUUGUUGAAAGGGAAGGGUUUGAGAUCAGACUUGGUAUUUUGUAUGUCUUGCUUUCGGGUGGGGCCUCUACAGUUUACUGGGCCAGCAUCGGUUUGGACGGUAGGAUAAUGACAUUGGAAUGUGGCACCACUUCGGUG